AACGGAUUAGAUACCCUGGUAGUCCACGCUGUAACGAUGAUCACUCGUUGUUGGCGAUACACCGUCAGCGACUGAGCGAAAGCAAUAAGUGAUCCACCUGGGGAGUACGGCGGCAACGCUGAAACUCAAAGGAAUUGACGGGGGCCCGCACAAGCGGAGGAACAUGUGGUUUAAUUCGAUGAUACGCGAGGAACCUUACCUGGGCUUGAAAGGGGAAUGACCUCCCGGGAAACCGGGAUUCUCUUCGGAGCGUUCUCCUAGGUGCUGCAUGGUUGUCGUCAGCUCGUGCCGUGAGGUGUCGGGUUAAGUCCCAUAACGAGCGCAACCCCUAUUGUUAGUUGCCAGCGGGUAAUGCCGGGAACUCUAACGAAACUGCCGGUGUAAACCGAGAGGAAGGUGGGGAUGACGUCAAAUCAGCACGGCCCUUAUGUCCAGGGCUACACACGUGUUACAAUGGCCGGCACAAAGGGCAGCUACUAGGUGACUAGAUGCUAAUCUCUAAAACCGGUCUCAGUUCGGAUCGAAGUCUGCAACUCGACUUCGUGAAGCUGGAUUCGCUAGUAAUCGCGCAUCAGCAACGGCGCGGUGAAUACGUUCCCGGGCCUUGUACACACCGCCCGUCAAGCCAUGGAAGCUGGGAGUACCUGAAGUCUGUAACCGAAAGGAGCGGCCUAGGGUAAAACCAGUGACUGGGGCUAAGUCGUAACAAGGUACC
This 715-nucleotide ribosomal RNA is filed under the name uncultured bacterium. Its description in RNAcentral is "bacterial SSU rRNA". It matches the Rfam family "Bacterial small subunit ribosomal RNA", at positions 771 to 1500 of the family's 1533-position model. The record is from RNAcentral.